UGUUCGAUUUCGGAGAGGGAGCAUGAGAAACGGCUACCACAUCUAAGGAAGGCAGCAGGCGCGUAAAUUACCCAAUCCUGACUCAGGGAGGUAGUGACAAGAAAUAGCAAACCGGGAACCUCAUGGUUUCACGGCAUUGCAAUGAGAACAAUUUAAAACCCUUAGCGAGAAUCAAGUGGAGGACAAGUCUGGUGCCAGCACCCGCGGUAAUUCCAGCUCCACUAGCGUAUAUUAAAGUUGUUGCAGUUAAAAAGCUCGUAGUUGAACCUCUGUCUGGGGCUAGUUUUGGCUUUGGUCAGGCUAGUUCUAGGCAUCCGCCUACAAGACUUAGAGGGCAUUCAGUUGUUCACUAGGAGGAGUAGGCAUUUUACUUUGAAAAAAUUAGAGUGUUUAAGGCAGGCAAUCGCCCGCAUAUAUUAGCAUGGAAUAAUAGAAUAGGACACUUUUCCAUUUCGUUGGUUAUUGGAAUCGUGUAAUGAUUAAUAGGGACAGUUGUGGGCAUUUGUAUUUAAUUGUCAGAGGUGAAAUUCUUGGAUUUAUUAAAGACAAACUAACGCGAAAGCAUUUGCCAAGGAUGUUUUCAUUAAUCAAGAACGAAAGUUAGGGGAUCAAAGACGAUCAGAUACCGUCCUAGUCUUAACUAUAAACUAUUCCGACUCAAUGUUUGACUGGCUUAUAUAACCAGUUGAGCGUUGUAUGAGAAAUCAAAGUCUUUAGGUUCUGGGGGGAGUAUGGUUGCAAAGCUGAAACUUAAAGGAAUUGACGGAAGAGCACAACCAGGAGUGGAUUCUGCGGCUUAAUUUGACUCAACACGGGGAAACUUACCAGGUUAAAACAAUAGUGGGAUUGACAGUUUGAGAGCGCUUUCUUGAUUGGUUGGGUGGUGGUGCAUGGCCGUUCUUAGUUGGUGGAGUGAUUUGUCUGCUUAAUUGCGUUAACGAACGAGACCUUAACCUGCUUACUAGACUGGCGAUCAUCAAUCGUUAGCUCUUCUUAGAGGGACUUUGGUUGUUUUAACUCCAAGGAAGUUUGAGGCAAUAACAGGUCUGUGAUGCCCUUAGAUAUCCUGGGCCGCACGUGUCAUACAAUGACUAGUUCAGAAAGUUUUCUCCUGACCCGAAAGGGGAUGGGUAAUCUUGAUAAUACUAGUCGUGUUAGGGAUCGAUCUUUGCAAUUAUAGAUCUUGAACGAGGAAUUCCUAGUAAGUGCGGUUCAUCAGACCGUACUGAUUACGUCCCUGCUCUUUGUACACACCGCCCGUCGCUUCUACCGAGUGGGUGGUCCGGU
Molecule: ribosomal RNA, 1287 nt
Filed under: metagenome
Description: SSU rRNA
Rfam family: Eukaryotic small subunit ribosomal RNA
Source: RNAcentral